AUAGACUUUUUAAGUAACUGACCAAUUUUAUUUUUCGAUCUUAAAUGACACUCCAUUGACUUGAUGAAAUGCGGUACUAAUAUGCUACGACAUUGUGUAAAUUGAAAAUGAAUGAAAGAGAAAUAAUUUAAUUGAAUGCAAAAUUAGAGUGUAGACAACUAAUGAGUUGUUUAUCUCUAAUGACCCAAAAUUGAUUAAUAAAUUAUAUUCAAUCAAUAGGCUAUCUCCAAUGAAUAUAAAAUCAGGGUCUCCAAUAAUUAUUAUAUAUAAAAUUAAAUAUUAAGUUUGGUUCUGGUUUUGGUUUUAGUUUUUGAACUAGAAUUAAACCAGAACCAAAAUCAAAUGGUUCUCGGUUCAAAGAACCAAAACCAUUAAUUUUUUUUAUAGAACCGAACCGAAUCGCUUGGUUUGGUUUGGUUCUGGUCUGGUUUAGUUUGAUUUGGACGUUUUGUCCAUCCCUAAUGUGGGCCAUUUGAAAUAUCGAUAAAAUCUAAAAAUUUUAUUGAAAAUGUACUGAUUAUAGGAACUGAAUAUUGAAUUACUUCUCUCCUAGGAGCAUAUUUAAACCGAUUUUUAUCGAAAAGUUGUUUCUUGUAUCAAUUUAACCAUAUCUCAAAAAGUUUUUAUUUUCCUCUCUAUAUAACUAUAUUUUGAAUGAAUUUUCUCGGAGAGAGCAUUACAAUUUGAGAUCAAAAUGUAAACAGAUUAAAAGUAAGUGGAUGAAAUUGUGGUAUUGUAACACUACUUGGUGAUGUUAAUUUUGGUCUUGCUACUUUAUUCCCAUGGGAGGAAUGGAGUAGCCCACACUGUAGCAUCCUUUCUUUCUCCAAUUUUUGAUAUCACUAGUUGGACUUAUCUGCAUUCCAUUAUAUUUGUCGACCAUAAUUCGUGGUUAUAGAUUUUGUCAAAAGAGAAAAGUGAUGCAAUUAUUUUGGAACUUAUAGACCAGAUUGAUUAACGGGAUAAACAUUUUCCCUGUUGUGAUAGGCACACAUUGAUUUAUUACAGCAUCUCUGAGUUAGGAUGCAUACGAGUGCGAUGCAAUGAUGAGGAAUGUAACUUGACACUAUUGAGAAAUAUCUAACCAAAAUUUCAGAAUCUUUUGCUAGUCUUUGCCGUGAGAAAGAAAAUGCCUGAAGAAUUGAUCGAUCUAUAUAAAAAGAAUGUAUCGGUGUCUUUGUUAUGAGAAUUUCAAACACAUUUAGUUCCUGAAAUAAAGAAAAGAUUUCAGGAUGUACAACAAAAGCUAGAGUUGUGGCACGCUGUAUUAAAAGAUCUAGAUGGGAAAAAAAGAAGGUGUCAAGUGUACAAUACCUGGGAAGGAAAAUCAAAGACUUAGUUGCUAGACUUCAGAAUGUCCUUGAAACUUAUUUCAACGAGGUCCAACACAGAAGAGGCAGAAGCAUAAUUGGAAAAUUCAUUAAUGAUUUCCAAACCUUCAAGAGAGUCGAUUUAGAUGUUAAAGAAAUUAAUAUCCGGGUAAUGAUGAUCAUUUCCCAUUUCUCGAUAUUAACAACCAUUAAGAUAACAGAAGAAAUGAAUCUAGAAUCUGAGACCCGACAAAAGUUGAGGAAAAGCUUCUCUGACGCUCAAGAAAACCAUAUUGUUGGGAUGGAUCACAAACUUGAAACUCUAAAAUCUGCUCUACUUGAUGGCAAAGGCAUUGUUAUUUACAUAUACGGCAGGGGAGGCAUAAGGAAAACCGUACUUGCCCAUAAAUUAUAUAAAGAUCCGUGGUAGAAAUUGGCACUUUUACAUUUGUUCUGUAGUAAAAAUUGGCCAGAAAUUUGCAUGCAUGUAGUUAGAUUUUAAAAGUGGGACUGAACAUUCGGAUCUUUAUAUAACUUAUGGGUAAGUGCAAUCUUUCCUAUGCCACCCCUGCCAUAUAUGCAAAUAACUGUGUCUUUGCCAUCAAGUAGAGCAGAUUUUAGAGUUUCAAGUUUGUAAUCCAUCCCAACAAUAUGGUUUUCUCGAGAGUCAGAGAAGCUUUUCCUCAACUUUUAUUGGGUCUCAGAUUCUAGAUUCAUUUCUCCUAUUGUCUUAAUGAGUGUUUAUAUCGAGAAACGGGCAAUGAUCAUCAUUAUCUGGAUAUUAAUUUCUUUAACAUCUAAAUCGACCCUCUGGAAGGUUUGGAAAUCAUUAAUGAAUUUUCCAGUUAUGCUUCUGCCUCUUCUGUGUUGGACCCUGAUGAAAUAAGUUUCAAGGACAUUUUGAAGUAUAGUAACUAAGUCUCUGAUUUCCCUUCCCAGGUAUUGUACACUUGACACCUUCCUUUUUCUCCCAUCUAGUUCUUUUAAUACAACGUGCCACAACUCUAGCUUUUGUUGUACAUCCUGAACUCUUUUCUUUAUAUUAGGAAAUAAAUGUGUUCGAAAUUCUCGUAACGAUUGGAAUCUCUUGUGUGGAAUUUUUCCACAAAAUCAACUGGUAGCAAACUAAUGUUGACAACUUUGUCAAGCGAAGUAGCUUUAUAUGUGGCUCUAGAUGAUGAAGAUGUUCAUGUGAUGUGGCCUUUAAGCCUAUUUGACUCUUUGGAGUUAUUUCAGAAGACACCAUUCUUGGGGGACCCUGACAGUAAGUUUAUCUUCCUCAAUAUUCAUCCAAAUAUGAGCUACGUUUUAUUCACCAUCUUCUCCACGUACUUUGUUCCACUUUUUCAUUGGACCAGGAUUAUCUGCUUUAUCCUUUAUUCUAGGCCAUUCUUGAUAAAUUUUUUUAUCUUACGUGAUGUGAAACCUUCACACCUAUAAGAGAGUUAAUGUUAGUCGAUAUCAAAAUUAUCAAUAAAAUGAUUGGAGAUAGAUGACAUACUACUGAUCAUUAUAUAUUAGAGAGCAUUCAUUAAUCUAUAAUACUUCGUAUCAUAUAUCCAAUUAGUUUAAGAAGUGAACUCUUUAAUUUUUAUUAAUCAAACAAAGUUAAAGGUUGUCUGAAUCUGUUAUGUAACGAACUAGACCGCCACAAACGCAGAAAAUAUUUGCAGGAAUGAACUGUAGAAAGGAAUGAAUGAAACACAUAGAAUUAAAGAAUUAAUAGAUGCUGAACGUGCAAGUCAUUUUACGCCGUUCAAUAACUUUCUCACAUUCACAUUAGGACCAGAUGUAUUUAUUUCCUGUUAUUCACAAUAAAUUACUGAGAUCUAUCCACUAUUGAUUUCAUUGAAGUCAGAAAAAUCAUCGCCGACUUAAAGGAAGAAUCCAGAUUACUCUGGGUAUUUCAUCUACUGUCUUCUCAUCUCACCUGUCUCUUUCUUUAUAUUGUUGUCUUAAUUUUUAACUCUUGUCAAACGCUGGGCAGCAUCUGGACUUUACGAUACUUAGUUCCGACUUCUCUUCUAGAUGUCUCUAGGUAUAAAUAAGCUGGUUGUACCAUUGGCUAUGGCAGUUAUAAAUAGGACAUUAGUGCCUCUUGUAGGAUGACAGAGAUAUGAGCACAUAGUUGCUUUAACGAGGUGCAGUGGAGUUCUUUGUUGAGAGAUUAAUUAAGAAAUGUCAAUUAAGAAAUGUCAUUUACAUAUCUAAUAAGAAAAAAUUGUUUCCUUCCAUUCCAUUUAUAUAGAUUGAUUUUGUUUUUCACACAAAUUAAAAAUCUUAUUUAGCCCUUGUUUAAGUCCCAUUUUGAGGGAAAUAAUACAUUUUUAAAUAGUGAUUGAUGGAGAAUGUGUAGUUAAAAAUUAAAAAAAAUUUAGAUUUACGUGUAAUAUUAUUUUAUUAAAGAAUGUAUGGUUGAAAAUGAGUUUUGAAAAAAUGAAUUCUUGGAAUAAUAUGGCUCAAACAAGGGCUUAAUAUUAUUGAAAAAAUAAUUUUUGUCAAAAACUUUCCUAAUUUACUCUUAUUUAAUAAUCGACAAAUAGUAGUAAAUUGAGAAAAAAAUUGUUAUAAUUAGUCAAAUUAAAUAAAGGUAUAUUAGUAAAUGAGAAAAAAAAAAACAAUCUAAAUAAAGAAAUAGGACUAUAUAAUUGAGAUUUGAGACAAUAAGAUAAGGAAAGUCAACCUAUAUAAUUGGAACGAAGGGAGUGCAAAUUUUUUAAAAAUGAAAUGCAUUUUAUUCUCUCUCUCUCUCUCUCUCUCGUGUUAAACUCGAGAAAGUCUUGCUAUGGUAGUGAAAUGCAAAUUCUUUGAUAUUGGAAUUAAUUACCUCAUCUGUAAAAAGAAAUGAAACCCCUUUAGUUAUCUUGAUAUAAUUUGUUGAUUUUUAUGCAGUACAUAAACAAAACUACACAUUUGGAUGCACGUCUCAGAUUUUGACCUUCUUUAUUUAGUCAAAAGAAGGGUUAUGAAGGAAUAAGCUUGUGUUACUUUCUCUUCUAAUCGAUGGAAUAAAUAGCCAUUUUACAAAUAUUAGAUUCUAAAGUUUAGGAUCAUUAUUGACUAAUUUUGGAGAGCAAUACUACCUAGACACAGACUAAUAAUUUUGUAUAGCUAAUAAAAAGAGACAAUGGUGGAGUUUGGACAGAGAAGCAUAGCUUGAAGAUAACCACGCUAAUUGUCAACAUUCCCCUUCAAGUUGAUGCAUAGAUAUGAUUAAUGUACAAUUUGUCUAGGUAGCUAUUAAAUGCUUGGCUAGUGCAUCAACAAGCUGUUCUUUAGAUUGAACAUGAGGCACUGCAAUAAGCUUUUCUCUGAGUUUCUCCUUGAUAAAGUGUAUUAACCUCAAUACGUUUAGUUCUAUCAUGUUGAACUAGAUUAUGGGCAAUAUUUCAUGCUACCUUGUUAUCGCAAUAUAGCUCCAUAGAAUUGAUCUGCUUAUUACGUAAAUUUUGCAUCAAAUUCUUAGUCCACAAUAAUUUACACACUGUCUUAGCCUUUCCCCUAUAUUAUGUAUCUACAUUGGAUUUAGCUACUGCCUCUUGUUUUUUACUUCUCCAAGUUACUAAAUUUUCACCUACAAAUGUGAAAUACCCGAAUGUAGAUCAUCUAUCCUCCAUUGAUAUAGCCUAAUUAGCAUCAAAAAGCUAAAUUAGGCUUGAUAUGUGCAAGGUACAUUAACUUUCCAACUAACCUCUGAUAGCAUUCCUAGUUAGCAAGAAUUUGAUUUUGAUACACACAAGAGCGUAAAUGAUCUCUUAAACACCGAUACUUAACUUAUGUUAAGCAUCGAUGACAUGACACACCAUUUAAUUGGUGAAUCAUAUACCAAUUAAAUGUUGUGUCAUGUCACUAGUGCUUAACAUAAGCUAAGCACCAGUAUUUAAGAGAUUAUUCCUAUAUAUGUGUAUAUAUAUGUAUAUAUAUUUAUAUAAAUAUGUAUAUAUGUAUAUAUAGUAUAUAGGUACGUAUACGUAUAUAUAUGUACGUAUAUACGUAUAUAUGUACUUAUAAAUACACCUAUACAUAUACAAUAUGAGCUAUGAUGUGUUCUUUAUCAUUUUUCAAGAAUAGUAUGAUUCGAGUUUCUUCGCUUGUAUCCAGUAAACUUCAUAAAGUUCAUAAACCUUCAAAACCACAUCCUAAGUGACUGCUUCAAACCAUAUAUGGACUUUCUCAAUUUACAGACAUGUUAACUUCCAUUGAUUUGUAUAAUACAUCCAUGAGGUAACUCCAUUAUACUUCUUCUUGAAGAUCUCCAUACAAAAAUGCAUUCUUUAUAUCUAACUGGUGUAAAGGCUAGUCAAGAUUUAUCGCCAAAGAUAGUAGAAUAUGUACAGGUUUAAUUUUAGCCUCAGGCGCUAAUGUCUCCAUGUAUUCAAUCCCUUAGAUUUGAGUAUAUCCCUUGAUAACAAGCCUUACUUUGAAUCGUUCGAUCGUUCCAUCAACUUUGUAUUUAAUGGUGAAGACCCACUUACAACCAAACGGUCUUCCCUUCAAGUAAGUCAACAACUUUCCCAUGUUGAAUUCUUUUGGAAAGACCUCAUCUCUUUAUUCAUUGCUUCCCUCCAUUUAGGAUCUUUCAAAGCCUCCUGCACACUACUAGGAAUAGAUUUAUUAGACAAUUGAUUCACAAAUGCUUCACUUUCCUUUGACAAUCAAUGGUAAGACACAAAGUUACUUAUGGGGUACUUCGAUUAGGAGUUAAGAACAGGUUCAUAAACUGUAGUUUUUCCUCUUGUGGUUCGAUCGAGUAGUACCUUAGUUGGGGUUCGGAUGUUACCUGAAAUUCAGACGUAGAAUUGAUUUGAGUGAUAAAUUGGUCAACUGUUCCAUUGUAGAUGGGAGAAAUGGCUGAGCAGCUGGUUGUACCACUUCCAUCAGAUCUUAGCUGUUUUCACCUUCCAAACUGUCCCCAUUUGUCUCAUAUGGGCAAUCGUAGAUAUUAUCAAAGUUGCCAUCAUUUGGACAUUCAACAAUCUCAUCCCACUUGUUACCACUUCUAAGAUCUAAAGUUUACAAAGUAUGAUUAAAGGUCUACAAUUCGUUUCUAUUCUCCCAUUGAAUUGGAGACUUGUGAGUAGAAUUAUACAUGUCAUCCUUAUAAAAUACAACAUCAAAGGGAUGAUAUCAUUGAUAGCCUUUAUGAUGUUAAGCACAUAGUCAAUAAAUAUACACCAAAGAGCCCGAGGUUCCAACUUAUGUCUUAAUGGUUUGGGAAGAUGCACGAAGGCUACACAUCCAAAUACUUUAGGUAGCAUAGUCGGUAUAGCAAGAGCAUUUAUGGCCUCAUGAAGAACGUUUAGAAGGGUCUAAAACCGAAGUGCAUGGAAGGUACAUGAUUAAUGAGGUAAAUUGUAGCAGCGAUAACUUUAUCCCAAUAAUUGAUAGCCUGAUAGGUAUAUGAGCUUCAAACAAGGAAACACGUACAGCUUCAAGAAGUGAAGGUUAUUGCCUCCACAACCUAUUUUGUUGAGGGGGAAUAAAGACAAUUAGUUUGAUGAGCAAUGCCAUAAAUAUACAAGUACUGUUUUUUUAAGUCUUGAUUAACAAACUCUCCACCAUUAUCACCAUGGAGAACUUGUAUACUAGACUGAUACUAGGUGGAUAUCAUCUUGAGAAAUUUCUGGAAUAAUGAACUAACUUCAUUUUUUGAUUUCAUUAAGCAAAUCCAACUCAUACAAGUAUGAUCAUCAAUAAAUGAAAUGAACUAAUGUUUACUCUAAGAUAAGAAAUAUUUGCUAGACCCCAUACGUUAGAGUGAAUAACCAUAAAUUGUGAUGGAUUUUUAUUCAUACUUGCUGAAAAUGGAACACAAUGGCUUUUAGCCAUUUCACAAAUGUCACACUUAAAUCUGAAGUAGUUAAUUGUUCAUAGAACUUUGGAAAUAAUUUCUUUAAAUAUCCAAAAGAUGCAUGGCCUAAAUGUCAAUGCCAAAACCAAUUUUCUAAAUUCUGAAUUGUGCCAGAUAUAUUCAUUGAAAAAACUUAAGCCAACUGAUUUUGGCUUGUCAGCAUUAGAUCAAGAUAAUAGAGCUUCUCUCUUCUAGUACUAUAACCAAUUGUUUUCCAAGUCCGGAUGUCCUUAAAAACACAAGGAUUAGGCCAAAAAAAAUCACAAUAUAAUGCAAUAUAUGAUUUAUUUGAUCAACAUAUAUUAACUUAUGGUUGAGAGUAGAAACAAUCGAAAUAGUAUCUAAAUUCAUUCUUUUCAGUAAGAGUGAUAGAAGUUUCUUCAACAACAGGAGAGGGAGUACCAAUUUUUAGAUGACUUCAUAGAUUGAAUAUGAUGUUUGUCAAAGGACAUGUGGUCAGUAGCACUGAAAUCAAUUAUCUAUUCACUAUUGAUAUUAGGAGCAAAAGUAUGAAGAGCCUUACUAGAGGUAGCAAUUAAAGAUGAGGCUUCCUUGGGAGUGUUAAUGAAAGGUUCAACCAUUGCAACUGAGGCAUGAUGAUUUGGGUCAAAGCUCCAUUUGAGAUGCCUUGGUAGGAUCCCACCACUGUCGUUACCCAAUCAUCUCAUAGCAUCAUGACUUAGUAUGUCCAGUUUAACUGAAAUGAGUACAAAAGCAUUUUGAUUGUGUUGCUCCAAUUUCAAAGCUACACUUUUUUGAUCGAGAUGAUGGAUUUUGGUUGGUGAUGGGACCAGAUACUCGAUCUGGUUUAGGAUGUUGAGACUAGCUUUGUCGAGCCACCAUUGCAAAUAACUCUAGAUGACCAGGUUUACUGUUAAGUGUGGUUCUACGAAUAGAAUCACAACAUACAUAUGCAUAGGUUUUUUCAAGAUCCAGUACAGGAUCCUUCCGAGAAUCUCACCUCAAAUAUGUUCAAAUUCAUCAUCCAGUUCAUUCUAGAAAAUAUGUACACGCAAUCAUUCAACUGAUUUAUUAUAGGUGAUAACAUCAUCAGGAUAUUUCAUUUCAGCCUUAUUGUGAUAAUCUAAUUCCUGGAUGAUUUCUACAAGAUCACCAUAAUAGAUCGAUAGAGGACGACCAAACUAUUUGGUUGAAAAGGCUCACUGAUUUAGUGCAAAGAUUUGCAAUUCGUCUGACCCAUCAUAGAAAGCUUUGGCAAGAGCACUCCAAAUUUCACGUGCAAAGCGCAUCUGGAUAUAACGCUUCAUAAUGUCCAGCAAGAUAGAUAUUAACAAUCAUCCCUUCACAUUUUCAUUUUCGACAUACCACUUUGAAUCAAAAGCAUCAGUAGCUUGUGGAGGAGAUGUUUUGCCUAUACUAUAUUCAAGAUUCUCAUGUCAUGCAAUCUGCAUUUUCAUGAUUUGGGACCAUACACCGUGCAAUUUAUUAAGAAUGAUGGUGGCUAUGAAAUCGGAGUUUACUGAUCGAACAUGGAUAAUUUGUACAGCGGAUUUUUCUGAUGCAGGGAAUUUAGGUAUAUCAUUAGUCAUGGUGUGAAGAAUAUAGGAAUUUAGCAGUGGUAAUAUGGUUUGGUUGUAUGAGAAAGGCUUUCAUACCAAGUCAAAAGAAGUUUUUAUGGAGGAAUGAACUAAUAUCACUUUUAUCUUCUAAUCGAUGGCAUAAAUAGCCACUAUACAAAGGCUAGAUCCUAAUGUUUAGGAUCGUGAUUGACUAAUUUAGGAAAGCAAUAACUGCCUAGAUACAAACUAUUUAUUACAGAGUUCCUUAUUUAUUCUUUAUAGAUAAUAAAAAGAGAUAACGGUGGAACUUGGAUAAAGAAGCAUCAACUUGAAUAUAAUCAUGCUAAUUUUCAAAAUAUUUUACAACACCUUGAGCUAUGAUGCCUUGUAUAAAUGUAGCCUUACAUCAAUGUGGUUUUUACAUGGAUCUCCUGGUUCUUUGUAAGAUAAAUUGAACUUUGACUAUCUGAUAGAGUGCAUAAGAUUGCAUUUUUAAUGCUGAAUGCUCAUGAUUAUUUGCUAAUAUAUAAGUAUAUUUGGGGAUUAAUAAUGAUAUUUUUUUUAUAGUUGAAUGAUGGUCAAUGCUAAUUGUGGUGUUUACAAUUUAAAUGUAGAAAUGAAGCCCAAAAAUAACAAAGCUCAAGGCCCAUAAGAGAGGACUCAAUUCAAGUGGAUUUCAGCCAGCCCAUUUAGAAGAAAAUAAAUUGGAAUGAAGGGAGCAAAUCAGUGGAAGACCCUCGGCUGUGAAGAAAUCCCGAAUUGGAAGCACAGUUGCACUGUCUUUAGUAUUUUCACCAUAUCUCCCUCAUCCGAUGUCGUAUUGAGCUGAUUCAAGAGGGCUUGGAAAGAUAACUUAACGUGCUACCUUUCUGCUGAAAUAGAGAUUUUGAAAUUCCCAUGUUUUCCAAAAGAAAAAUGGCCCACAAUCCAAGGCUGAAAAUUUGCCAAAUUGACGAGGCGAAUUCGGGAUUGAUUUUUUCUUUCCUUGUGAAGAUGGCUUGAAAGAGAGCAAGGAUAAAGAGUUAUGGGGAGGGAAAAAGAAGAUUUUUUUCAACCAAGGGGGCUGGAAAGCAAAGGGGAUCGAUUCUUUUUCUUCUUUUUGGCUAUCAAGAGGAGGAAGCUACUGGAAGAAAAUUUCAGACUAGAUUUACUGAGUUUUUUUUUCCUUCUUCCAAUCUCUUUCAGUUCCUUGAUGAUUAUGUUCAAAUUUUUUAUUAAGUUUUUUUUUUCCCUUCAAUUUUAGCAUGAAUUAAUUUCUAUCUUCUAGAGUUUGAGAUGUAGCCUAAUUAUAAUUAUGUGAAUCUUCCUUUAAUUGAAUUAAUUGGUAUUUGUUCCGAUUGUUGAGUAUUUCAUUCUGGACUUAAAGCUUGUGAAUGAUCGAUCACCGUUCACUUGAGUUGGGAUUCAAUUUGAG
Molecule: long non-coding RNA, 10095 nt
Filed under: Olea europaea subsp. europaea
Lineage: Eukaryota; Viridiplantae; Streptophyta; Magnoliopsida; Lamiales; Oleaceae
Source: RNAcentral